GUUACUAAAAAAAAAAAAAGAAGGAGCAGAACAUUCAAAAAUAUCCUCGUUAUUUUAACCAAAAAUUUUUACAGCAGAAUCGGCGAUAAAAUUACAAAUAAUUUUGCAUUGGGAAAAAUUUCGGGGAGAAUGAAAGAUUAUUAUCUGUUGCAACUUGUUAAUAUUCAAUCGUAUUUUAUCGCGCUUGGCGAGUGAUCGCCUUGGCGGAGAAGUCCGGGCGUGGUGUAGUUUACUAAAAUGAGCAACUGCGACGUGGUUCUCUCUGGCAGUAAUGCGCGACACUAAUGGUGCAUAAUUGACAAAAGUUCACGAUAAAUGCAAUACACUAUGUCGCGAGAUGCAAAGCAGACGGGCAGCGAUUGUACAUUCUGCCUGUGUUACGAACGAGAGUAGCUCGUAAGACUAUAGAACAAUAAGAUGCUGGAUAAAGAAAUUCUCAGAUGCAAACAGAUGUAGUACGAGUGCGUAAGAAGUAUGUGAGCAUCGAAUGCAAUGUGAUAUGAAAUUACGUCACACGUUCUCUCCUGUGAUGCAACACGUUCUCUCCUGUGAUGCAACACGAUGCAAUUUUCGUUUCACGUUUAGCUACGAGAAGACUUAGGAAGCGGAAAUUAAACUACGAAGGAUGAAUUCAUUAUUCUCAAAAUCAACAAUUUAUAACGACGCCGUUCUUCGAUACUAAAUGUAAAGUGAAUACUAUAUUAUUCCACGCUAAAAGUAACGAGAUGAAAGUUUUCCUCCGCUCUCGGAAACGAAUCGAGAUUUAAAUUUCUAAAAUCGCACGACGAAUAUGCUACGAUAGUCUUUGCAUCUUUUGGAUUAACAUAUAAAGUUUUCUCUACAAAGAUGGCGAGCGAUGAAGGAAACGAGAGCGAACGUGAGAUUACAGAUUAAGAGUAUAUUCUCGCAUUUUGUCGCGAAUCUUUCUUCUUUGCGUGAUAUUGCGCCGCAAAGAAUACAGUAAAGUAAACAGGAAAAAAAUGACAAUGGAGGAAAGACAUAUGAGGCUAGGCAGCAAGAUAAAAAAGGAAGCCGCGCAAGAGUGGAAUAGAAGACGAUGUUGCGGAAAAAAAAUCCGUGAGAGAAGUGAGGGAUGCAAGAAUAAUGCAAGGGGACGAAAGACAUCGACCUUGAAACGAGUCAGUUCGCUCGCCGACGUGGAACUAGGGCGAUCGACGAUGAAUCUUCAAAGAGAAGCGUCCUGUCGCCCAACAACGACGACGACGACGACGACGGCGGCGACGGAGAUGCGCUUUAAAUACCCGCUCGUUCUUGCCGACACACGGCUCGCUUACUCGCCACGCGAGCCUGUGACGUUAGCCUAAGGGCGCUUUUCUUCCUUACCCGCCCGACUACCCCGUGAUAUCUCAUCGUACUCAAUUUAUCACCUUCCGAGCGUCGAUGAUGCCCCUCGUUUUUUUUCGUUGCCAUCGAAAAUAGCCUCCUGUUAUCCAAGUUAUUUUUCGAUCUGGAGGAAACUCGUGGGCGAACUAAUCGAAGAAGCACUAUCACAAAAGAAAAAAAAAGAGAGAAUGAGAGAAGCUUUAACCGAGAUAAUGUAUCUUACAAAAUGGGUAUGCUUUUGAGCGCGCAAGUCCUACGCGCGGAGAAUCCUGUGAUCUCGUUGCGCCCGAUUUCUUUAUAGCAUAGCAUUGCGCAUCACGCGGUAGGUCAUAAAGCGUAGUGUUUCCGCACUUUGCGUAGCGGACUCUACCCUAUCCUACUUGUAUUGUUGCAACGCCAAUAUGUAACCAAUCGCAAACGUGAGCCGUAUAUGCCAUUGUAUACAUGUACAUAUACAUAUAUGUGUAUAAUGUGAUGCAGCAAACACAGAACUGUCGGCUACUGCUGCUGCGAGUGGGCCGACUCUUAUCACCGAGAGCUAUUAUUAACCCUUAAACUGACAAUGAGUAGCCGGCUUUCCGGCUAUAUAUUAGAAUAUUGUCCCUAUCGAAAUUGCCACAAGGAUAUGACCUUCGUUAAACCUUCAGUCGAAUCAUUGCAAACUAUUGCAUGGAACAUAAGAACAUAGCUUGUAAACUUGUAAACUCAUAAAUUUGAGAAAAAAAUUUAAAAUAAAUGUCAAAUGUUUUAAACAACA
This is a long non-coding RNA of Wasmannia auropunctata (little fire ant), 2101 nucleotides long. RefSeq lists it as uncharacterized. NCBI's taxonomy places the organism in Eukaryota, Metazoa, Arthropoda, Insecta, Hymenoptera, Formicidae. The transcript is spliced from 4 exons. The record is from RefSeq and is a predicted model, not a curated record.